GUCAUCAGCGUAAUGAGGAGUAAACAUUUAUGCUAAUAAUCUACAUUUUUGCCCCCCCAUCGGCUAUAAAGAGGGGGAAAUAAAGCAGACAUUUUCAGUCAUUUUCUGAACUCGGCUGCUAUAAGCUUAGACCGACACAUGGGACACAUUUGGCUGGAUCUGGGCGCUGCUCGCGUGUCUGUGCUGCAGGAUGCUGCGGCUCAUCCGCCUCCACGCGGGGAGCUGCUGCUGCGUGGCCUCUUCAACAUCCCAGGCUGAAGGACACCGGUGACCCUGCCAGGAAACUGCAUCACAUCCGUUGGAGAUGAACUGAUCAAACGGUCCUCGGACUUCAAACUGGACUUGUUGCUCUAAAGAUUCUGUCUGCUUCUUUUUUUUAUAUCAUUGUUUUUCUUCAUGCAGAAGCAGAAGAUUUAUGAAAAAUUAGCCCAUGAAGUAACUCUGUGGUUCCCUGCACAUGACAUCUCUAACUGCAAAAAACUUCUGUGAAUAGAAAGAAGGAUAAUUAACACGUGAGACUUAAUGCUGGUCAUUGCAGGGUGGAGAAGUCAUAUUUCAACUCCUUUCUUUCCUUCUUCCAGUGUUCAGAGCAGCUCUCUCCUCAGAAAGCUCGGGGUCACAGUGUGGAAAAGCCCCCAGCGAACUGGUAGAAAUGCUGUCCCCAUUACGGCAGCAGCAGGGGUCAGGCCAUGGCAGCAAGCAUCCAACCUUCCUGAAAUUGGCUGCAAAAUGACCAAUUACCUGAGUGAAGGCUGGGGAGAAGGGACCUGGAAAAAUAUGGCUUUUACUUAAUUCAGCUAAACUGUAAAAGAAACUAGUGUUACAUCGAGGCUUCACACUUGCCACAUGUUACAGAAUCCCACCUGUUAAGUGAAGAUCUGGCCGCGAAAUCAGAAAAUCACUCUGAAAGAAAAUGAAAAUUAAAUAAACUGAUGGUUUGGAUGUGAGAGAGCUGGAUUGUGGGAGUAAAAAUCUUUGAACUGUUAGGCGGGGAAUUAUCUCACCGACACCAAAACAACGACUGAUUACACAUCUUUACAUGUCGGACUAAUUGAAUUCAUUUCCCUGCGAAUGGAGAACAUGCAAAUUUGGAGAGCCGGACUGCUUGACGUUCAGCUGCCACUGCGCCUUUAGUCUGAAAACCCCUUUUUUUUAGUUUUUGUUAAGAGUUAAGUCUCCAACAAAGACAGGAAGGAGGUCAGCACUCAGCCAACACCUGAAUGCGCCUCUCUUUAUUGUGCUCCCCUUGAUCCCCACAGUCUGUGCCUGUCAUUAGUCUUAAUGAUGGAAAAUUGUCAUGUUGAUACAAGUCUUGCUCUCCCCCUCUCUUCUUUGUAUAAGUAGAAGGUGGAAGCUCAAUUUGUAACAAAGUUCUUUGUGACUAAAAGCCGUGGACAUUGCAUUUGUGCCGGGGGAGAAAAAAAGGCUGUAGAUGCUCUUUCCAUAGCUGGGAUAAUUAUUCCCACUGUGACCUUAAUGAUUCGCUCUGUUCAUCCUGCAUCUCAUCCACGCGCCAGGCCCUCAGCGGAGCCCUGUGUCAGGGAAUAUGAAAAACCCAUAUAAUGAAACCAUUUUGGCUGAUGGAAAAAAAGGGCUACUGAAGCUGCACUUGCUACAAAGACGGCUCAAUUAUAUGAGUAAUUGUGAUAAUUUUCCCUCCAUUCACAGCUUUCUCUGAAAGGUAAAAAACACAGACGCUGAAAGGGAAAUUACUUGGACAAUAUAUAAUCUGUGAAAUGGUCACAACAGAAAAAAAAGAGGUGACUGUAAGAAAGUGCAGGACUAUAAAUAGGUAUGUUAAGGCAGGGGCACACAGAUACACCCUCAGAAGCUCACAGACAUAAACAAACCAAUGCAUGCUCGUGUGGGGGAAAAAAAGAAACAUGCAGCGAAUGACCAUUGUAAAAAAGAAAAGAAAAAAGAUAAGAGUCGAUCCACAGCUGCCAGAAAAUUAAACCUCCUUCUCCUUCCUAUUGACAAAUUUCAGCUCCUGAAAAUGCACCCCCAUAGUUGGCUAUCAUUUGUUGUUCCCUGACAGGAAAAGGAUAAUUACCUCUCUCAGAGGCAGGAGGACUGACAUGCCCUUUAGACUUUGCCAUGAAUGCAGAAGCUUGAUAGAAAGCCCGAGGAAUAAUUUUGUUCUUUGCCUUUUUCCUUUAUGUUCGAGAGCGUGUUUUGUUCCAAAGGAGUUGGAGUUGGUAGUAUUGCAGAGUGCAUUAAACCAUGGAUGUUCUGGUUCAUACUGCAAAUAUGACAUGCCCGUGUCUAUCAGCUUCUCCAUUCGAGGGAAAAAAACCUCUCAAAUGCAUUAAAAUUUCAAUUUCGUCUCGGUGGGCGACAGGCGAGAUAGUGAGAUAUGCAUUACUUUUUCCUUUCACAGUGGGUGUUGGAUUAAACAUUUCUUCCCUCUCUGUGAACAAAAAAGAGAAAGGAGCCGCUCUCUGUCAGGUGGGAACGAGGCUAUAAAUUCAAGUGUUGUGGGCACAGAAAUUCAUUGUAUAUGAGGAAGUGUCCAUCAUCUGCAAGGAAGCAAAUGAACUCUUGUCCUGUAGGAGAGCUUCAUGCUCUGUUUCCCAGUGUUUUAGGAAUAAUAUCAUUAAAACUUUCAGCACUGGUCUACAAAUAGUUCCAUACCACAACCGCUUCCCCCUAAAAAAGCGCUUUAGUGCACAAACAUCCCACAUGUAUAUGACCGCUGACCCUCAACGGCCACUGCAAUCUGGCUUCUUCACCAGCCGAGCAACAUUACAAAAAUUCUUGUAUCAUACUCAAUUGGUGAGUCUCUUGUCACACACCAUGUAUCAGUUUCACCCCCCUCCUCUCCCCCCAAAACUUCCAUCCCAUUGAGCAGCCUUGUGUGUUACAGGCCAAGAAAGCCAGAGACCCCCUGGUCCUACCUGAUUGUUCCUCCUGUAACAUGGAGAAGCAGCUUGGUCCCACCACCAGCCAACAGUGAGCAAGACACACACACACACACACACACACACACACACACACACACCCCACUGUGCACUUCCUGACAGCCUCCAGAAAUGUUUUCAAGUUGUCACGGCCCUCCAGUAAUGGUCCGGGAGCAGAAAAAUACAACAAAACUAUAAUCAUGUGAUCACACAUUGAGGAUAUGUAUGGACUGUGAGACUGUUUGUGUUGCUUCUCGCAGGCUCUUUCAUUUACUGUUUUCAUUUAGUUUCCCAUUGAAAUCCGGCUCAAUAUUUUUUUUUGCUGUUUGGUCACUUUGACACAGAACCAAACAGGCUUUGCAAAUCUCUUGUGUUUGAAGCUGCGGCUGUUGUGAUAUUUUUGAGCAUGAAAUCAUUUUUAAACUUUUUUUUUCUUAGUGCUAAGGAACAGUAUGACAUUUUUUUUAGGGGGGGGGGGCCAUGAACUUUUUCUUUUUACUGAAGGGAGUAUGAUUGGACUUUUAGGGGAGGGACUUUUCUCAUCCCAGAUUCAUGAUUCAUUAUAUUUAUUCAGAGAGGUACCUGGCUACAACUCAGUCUAUUGUCAUUUUAAAUAACAGCGAUAAUUUAGAAGCUGAACAUUACACAGAUGUAAAGUUCAAGAUGCAACAGUUCACUUUUUGCCAUAAAUUUGGCUUUAAAUAAAUUCACUUUUCUUGUGUGAUUCGGUGUCGAUUGGAUAGGAUGGGUUACUUUUAUUGCAGUGUUACAGCAGCAACAGCACCGAUCAUCACAUUAACGCACAUCCCUUACACAUACAGACACGAGGCAGGUGAAAGACACCGUAUUUAAUAGUUAUCGAUCCACUAACAUACAACAGUUUAAAUAGAACUACACCGUCUUUGCUUAAUAAUGUACUGUUUGUUUUUAAUGGUUAAACUAAUUUGACCAAUAAUCAAUCAAGUAUUAUUUUGAGAUAUUAGAGAAUGGAUGUUGGAAAGUCAAGAAAAAUAAUUUAUUUUUAUUUUUUAAACACAAAGGAGGUUUUUUUCUUUAAUGAAAAGUGGCACAGUGUCAGUUAAUAUUGUCUCUCGUGAAAACCUAAAAAGUGUAACUAUGGUUAUUUUUUCACAGACUGUAUUUAUGUGUACAUGCUGCUCUGUGUGUGUUGUGUUGUCCUCAUGUUAAACUGUGAUUUUUGGUUAUUUAAAUACAUGUUUUUUUACAUUGGUUCUAAUAUUCUGCAAUAUCUGGCCUGAUUAAAGCCAAAAUGUGUAGUGGU
This is a long non-coding RNA of Scophthalmus maximus (turbot), 4182 nucleotides long. RefSeq lists it as uncharacterized. The transcript has 2 exons. The record is from RefSeq and is a predicted model, not a curated record. NCBI's taxonomy places the organism in Eukaryota, Metazoa, Chordata, Actinopteri, Pleuronectiformes, Scophthalmidae.